CCACCACAUUUCUCUAACUUUAUCUUUGCACUUCCUAGCAAAAAUAUGAACUCAAUAUAUUUAAUUACAUACAUAUAUGGGCAGCAGUUCAAUCAAUUAAUCGUUACUCAAAUUUAUAUUUUCAUCCUAUCAUGAAACCAUCUUCAAUUAACUCACAUCUUAAUACAUUUUUACCAAAAUUACUUACAUCCAUUGCUUACGAAAUUCCUUAGAUUAUAUCACCGGUAACUUAUUUAUGAUGUCACGUUUAGAUUAUAUCACCGGCAACUUAUUUAUGAUGUCACGUUUAGAUUAUAUCACCGGUAACUUAUUUAUGAUGUCACGUGCCUACUUCAACCUUUCUAAAUAAUUUUCACCCAAAUCCAUCUUAUAUUUCCACACAUAAUCCACAUAUAUGGUAGCAACAAUUAUUCUCACUUUCACUCGAUUAUUUCCUAGUUUACACGCAUCGUUAUUUAUCUAACUUUCAAUACUUUGUUUUUCAAUCCUCCAUCCACAAUAUUCCUUUUUUAUUUCUUUCAAACAACAUGCCAUACAAUCUUAACAAUUUUCAACUAGCUUAGGCAAAUAAAUCCUUUCAACAACCAUAAUUCCUCACAAUAUUCAACUAACCGUAGGCUUUAAAACAUAGUGUUAAGCUUACUGUUUUCCUUUUCCACUUUGAGUCCUUCAUGUACCCAUGGGUUUAUUGGCUUACAUGUUACCAAUUUUUCUCCAAUCAAGCCAAUCUUUGCUGCCACAAGACAUUUCUUUAAGUCACUAACUCAUUUUCAAAGACUACUCAAGCCAAAAACAAGAAUUCUUACUGUUCCUUGCUUGAAUCACCAAAACAAAGCUUUUUCUUUCUUGUCCUCAAGGGAUUUAGUGUGCUGGAAAUUGGGGUUAAAGGCUGUAAAUUUAAUGCUCAAGAAGUUUGGAGAAGAAAGGAAAAGAAAACAUGGAAAGGAAAGUGAAAAAAACUUGAUUUCAUGGUGGAUAAAGAGAAAAUGGCAUGGAAGCUUCAAGAAUGGCAUGGAGCAUGGAUGAAGAAGAAG
RNAcentral lists this long non-coding RNA (1034 nucleotides) under Theobroma cacao (cacao). RNAcentral describes it as "long non-coding RNA (TCAC_LNC003858)". The record is from RNAcentral. Lineage: Eukaryota; Viridiplantae; Streptophyta; Magnoliopsida; Malvales; Malvaceae.